RNAcentral lists this unclassified non-coding RNA (208 nucleotides) under soil metagenome. RNAcentral describes it as "partial contains 5.8S ribosomal RNA, internal transcribed spacer 2, and large subunit ribosomal RNA". The record is from RNAcentral.
AACAUCGCGCACCUGCGGGAACCUGCGGAGGGAUCAUUACCGAGUGUGGUCCCUUAUAAGGGGCGCCUCCCGUCCUUUGCAGGGCCUUUAGGGGCUUUUUGACUUUGCUUCGGCGGGCUUGCCCCGCCGGAACACCCUCAAGAAAAUCUUUAUGAACCGUUUGUCUGAGUUGCUUGCGAAUAAAAACAAAACUUUCAGCAACGGAUCU